AACCUGGGAAAGCAGGCCCGUAGGGCGUGGCCCAGGGGAGAAGCUAGGCGCUGGCUGGGACAAAGCCGAUUGGACACUAGUGGGAGUCGGAGUUUGCCUAAGAGGCUAAGUUGGGCUGUGGAAGAGCAAAACUAAGGAAGUGGGCGGGGCAAGGCAGGAAGUUGGAAACCUGAUGGCAGUAGAAGUCAGUGACAUAAAACGACCUCCCGAGUACUUGGAUUAAAGGUGUGCGCCACCACGCCCUGCAUAGAGCUGGAAUUCGAACCUAGAUAAUCUCCUUCCUGAACUUCAGGGGUUCUGAGACACAAGCUAACCAACCCCAAACUCAUUAUGUAGAUGAGGCGAGCCUUCAACUCCUGGCCCUCUUGACUCCACCUCUGGAGCUGUUGGACAGCACCUCGAUUGAGAUGAGUGGGCAACUGGCUUCGAGGGUGGCAGGGACUGUCACCUGGCAGGUGGGGCUCGGAAGAGAAUUGCUGCUGCGUCUACGGGCUUCAGUCCGCUACUGGAUGUAUACAAAAACGAAGUGGUCAAGCUCUUGGUGUCACCCACCUCAACUGAGAAGAGCUGCCAACAGAUGGCCACCUUAGGGACCAGGCUUCACAGGACCUGCCCUUUUGACACCAGGAAGGGCCUCGGUGGUACACAGAACCCACAGCAGCCCCCCCCCCCCCGCCACCACGUCCACCAAACAUGUAGUUUAAUAUUCAGUUAAACCCGCAACUCUGCCAAUGGAACUUUUUAAGAAAAUAUGCCUGUAUGGGAGUAUGUACAAACGCAUGCAGGCUCCCUUGAAAACCAGAAGAGGGUGUCAGAUCUGGCGCUGGGGGCUUGUGAGCCACUGCCUGACAUGGGGGCUGGGAACAGACCUGG
Molecule: long non-coding RNA, 873 nt
Organism: Nannospalax galili (Upper Galilee mountains blind mole rat)
Lineage: Eukaryota; Metazoa; Chordata; Mammalia; Rodentia; Spalacidae
Exons: 4
Source: RefSeq, a predicted model, not a curated record